GACGAACGCUGGCGGCGUGCUUAACACAUGCAAGUCGAACGGUGAAGCGCCUUCCUUUUUGGUGGGUGUGGAUGAGUGGCGAACGGGUGAGUAACACGUGAGUAACCUGCCCCCUUCUUCUGGAUAACCGCAUGAAAGUGUGGCUAAUACGGGAUAUUCUGGGUCUGUCGCAUGAUGGGUCUGGGAAAGAUAUUGUUUCGGUGGGGGAUGGGCUCGCGGCCUAUCAGCUUGUUGGUGGGGUGAUGGCCUACCAAGGCGGUGACGGGUAGCCGGCCUGAGAGGGUGGAGGGUCACACGGGGACUGGGAAACGGCCCAGCCUCUAAGGGGAGGAGGCGGGGGGAAUAUUGCACAAUGGGCGCAAGCCUGAUGCAGCGACGCCGCGUGAGGGAUGGAGGCCUUCGGGUUGUGAACCUCUUUCGCCAGUGAAGCAGGCCUGCCUCGUUUGUGGGUGGGUUGACGGUAGCUGGAGAAGAAGCGCCGGCUAACUACGUG
This 493-nucleotide ribosomal RNA is filed under the name uncultured bacterium. RNAcentral's name for it is "partial 16S ribosomal RNA". It matches the Rfam family "Bacterial small subunit ribosomal RNA", at positions 28 to 507 of the family's 1533-position model. The record is from RNAcentral.